RNAcentral lists this long non-coding RNA (805 nucleotides) under Phoenix dactylifera (date palm). Its description in RNAcentral is "long non-coding RNA (PDAC_LNC018046)". The record is from RNAcentral. Lineage: Eukaryota; Viridiplantae; Streptophyta; Magnoliopsida; Arecales; Arecaceae.
UUCUAUAAAUACAUAUACUUCAAUGAUCAUCUAUAUAUUUUUUCCUCUCCUACAUUGUUAAAGACUUUCAUCAAAAUAUAUAUGUAUAUAUAUUAUUAAAAGAGUGAAUGAUCUCAAGUCUAGAAAUAUUUCAGCUCACUCAAAUGAUUCUUAAAAGAAAGAAAAUAUAAAUGCUUUUGAAAGAAUUUGACCUUCAAAUAAAUCAUUUUCUGAUUAAUAUUUCAGUACAUUUUCUCAAAGAUUAAGAGGAAGCAUAACUUGUUCUUAAAAGAUUAAAAAGAGUAAUUGCUAUAAAUUUUGAAUAAUUCUAGAUCACUCUACAUUCUUGAUAUCAUAAAGGUUUAGUUUUAUUCACGUUUAUCAUUAAAAUCUGAAAUUCAACUAAAGAUAAGAGAAAGAAUACUAAAUGUGAAGUGGUAUUAAACUUUGUGCUUCGUUGAAUAUCUUUUGAAAGUUGGAUUUUUAUCUGUACUUAAUUGGUAAAUCACUUGUUUUGAAAACUAAGUGAAAAGAAUUCCAUUUGUCUUAGUAUUGGAAAUUUACUUUGGAAUCUACUAAUGAGUUCUUAUUGGCUUGCACUUUAGUGUUUCAAUCAUGAGCCAAUUCAUUUUAAUUGAUUUUGAUGCUAUGAUCUUUAAAGGAGUAAAAGAAAGUCUUUAAGAGAGGUUUAAAAGAACUUUCAAAGCCCUGAAUUUUAUAUAUCCUACAUUGCAUAAAUUCAUGUCUUGGUAUCUAUGCUCCAAUACUUUUAUAUCAUGAAAGAACUUUGAAGUCAUUAAGAAUUAAGGAUUCAACAUAAUCUUAU